This 4609-nucleotide long non-coding RNA is filed under the name Mytilus galloprovincialis (Mediterranean mussel). The record is from RNAcentral. Lineage: Eukaryota; Metazoa; Mollusca; Bivalvia; Mytilida; Mytilidae.
GUACAUUCGUAUAUAAUCAAAUAAAUGUCAUUCCUUCACUACCAGGAAUUUACGUCGCGUUUACAUGUACUUUUAAGGCAGCUCUCUCUCUCUCUCUCUAGAUAUAUACAUAUACAAUAUUGGUAUAAGGACUUUUAAUAACUGGUGUAUGCACUUUGUUUUCCAGAUAAUUAUGGUAAGAAAAAAGUCGUUUUAGGUUUUUUUUUUAAACUGAAGAUUUUAGUAAUUUAUCAGUAUUGUACAUUUUAAUAAAAAAAAAACUAAAGAUAUGGUAUAUCCAUUCAUGACACAAAAAUCAUUUCGAGCACAUCAAAACACAUACAAAAAACAAAGAAACAACUCUUUUAAAGCUGAUUCCGCCUCAAUUUAGCUAUUCUUGUUACUGAAAAUUUGAACAAAAUUAAAAGACUUCCUUUUCUGCAUUGGCUAGAGGCAUAGGGGGAGGGUUGAGAUCUCACAAACAUGUUUAACCCCGCCGCAUUUUAGCGCCUGUACCAAGUCGGGAGCCUCUGGCCUUUAUUAGUCUUGUAUUAUUUUGACUUUUAGAUUCUUGUGUACAAUUUGGAGUUUAGUAUGGUGUUCAUUAUUCACUGAACUAGUAUAUUUUGUUUAGAGGCCAGCUGAAGGACGCCUCCAGGUACGGGAAUUUCUCGUUGCAUUGAAUACCUGUUGGUGACCUUCUGCUGUUGUCUGCUCUAUGGUCGGGUUGUUGUCUCUUUGGCACAUUCCCCAUUUCCAUUCUCAAUUUUAUUUUUAUUGUAUCUUAAAGAAUGUUGAACCCCGAUUUCCAAGAUUUCUUUACAAAUGUGACCCAAUAAUGAAGAACUUAAUGCAAUAAUAUUUCCGAAAAAGAGAUUUAAAAAAAAAAAAACAAUUGCUUCAGUUUUUGCUUUUUUAUUCUAUUUUUUAUUUUAGUUUGUUUGUUUGCUUUAUUUUGUAUUUGUGGUUAUGACUAUUUUAUUUUUAUCAUCUGAUCAAUUGUCAAACAGAUUAAGGUUAAUUUCAUGUACACAAAUAUCAAAAUUCUCAUUUCCAAAUUGUGUUUGUCGGAUGUGAUUCUUCAGUAAGGGCCUUGUAGCAUAAUUUCAAAUUCUUUUUCGGUGUUACCAGAUAAUUAUGAUUUAUUGUUUUCGUCGUGGAUAAAUCAAAUCCGGGUUACAAACUAAAGUUAGAACCUUAUUAAAAAAGUAUCUAAAAUGAUAUAAAAUUAAUGCAUUGGUCAAUCGAAUUCACAGCUCUGAUUUCCAGUCAUACUUUAACCAUUUUUUUGUUCUUGUUUGUCUUUUUCUGUUCUUAAACGUUAAAGAUUGAAGACGGAUUUGGAUUCACAAAUAUUUUAGAACAAUAAUCAUGAUGCAUUCUUUGUCAAAAUGCACAUAUGGUGCAGACUAAUUGGUACGGUUUCAUAUUAUUUAUCGAAUGGUACCAAACUAUUGUAAGUACACGCAAUGCCCAUUCGCGUUGUUUGUUAUACUUUAAUCCCUUUUUGUGACUCUGUUCUUCAAUUUUGCGUGCGUUUAUUGUUGAUGUUUAAAAUAACAAAAGAUUAAUUAGAAUGAUGGUUUUAAUUCAUUUACACUUAAAUUUGAUCUUUUGUGGAAGGUUGAUUAAGCUUUGAACCCCGGUAUAACCAACAAUUUUCUUCAUGAAUUUGACAACUGUUUUCCAUUCGUUCCGUUAGAUAUUGUCGAGUGCUAGAUUUUGUCUUGUCUAGUUUCCUGGACUUGCCCCAAUUUCGAUUUGCGUUGUAGUUCGAUACUUUUGUAAAACUUUUCUACGGGAAGUAUAAUUUCUAUAUGCAUUUUGCUGAAAUUUACCAUUUCAUACACAUUAUAAAAGUUGCAAUUUCAAUUAAAUGGACACGAGUAUUAUAUUUCCCGGUUCAGUUAAGUGUGAAUAAUUCUUAUUAAGAAACUAAAAUUUGGACUGAUAUAUUUGUUUGGACUUCAUGAAUUCUUCAAAAAUGUGUCAUUUUCAGGAAGAGUUGUUUCUUUAUUAUAAAAGUACAGAUAUAUAUAUGAUAAUAUCAAAAUACCGGAAUAACAUUUUAACUUCGUUUACUAUGUUAAUUUCCGUCCACUGAUUUUGGGUGUACUUACAAAACAGACGCCUUUUUGAUCGUUUUGUAAUGUUUUGUUUUAUAAUAAUAUUAACUUUUUUGCUAUCUAUAUUCUCAAUGUCCUUAUGUGGCACGCAUUUUCCCCUCUUUAAUUGUUUUUGGUUACAUUGCGUAGUGUCUAAUGUGUUCGCUUAUUCUAGUUUUCAAUAGAUAUCUGCUGAACUAUUUGCAUUUUUUAAAUUUCAUCGACAGUGGAAGAUUAUUCUCCCUUAAAAAGCAUGUUUUAAAAUUCGGUGGGUUAUAUCUUAACAUAUUUAAUUUGUUUUUGUAUUAAAUUUCAGUAUUUUAAUCAAUAUCAAAUUUUAAAAGCCUAUUUCAGAUGUCAGUUCUUAUUGUCCAGCGUACAACAUUUCCCUUUAUUUUGCAGACUUUCAUGAUCUAUUAAUUUGUUUAAAAUUAAAUAGUGGUAUCAUCACAAUGUUAUUUUGAUGAGGAUGAAUAUGAUCUAUUUUCAUUUUUACUUCUACGUUUUACAUGGUAACAAAUUAGAAAUUUACAGCACUUGGCAAAUGAUUAAAAUUCUGUUUAUACAGAUUCGUGAUCCUCAACAUAACGGUAAACAGAUAAAACGUAAUUACAAUCCUUAUUAUAUCUAAAUUUUAAAAAGACAAACCAAGGACCGACUGUUACGUAAUCAUUCAGUAGUUUUAAACAUAUUUGUUUACAGUUCAUAUUUCUAAAAAGAGAAAUAGAGCCAUCCGGUGCGUCAUGUAAGUGGAUAAGUUGUUGAUGUUCAUUUGCAUGUGAUAUAAGUAGUAUAAAUAAAGUGUUUUAAACCAAAUACAUAUUAAGCCAUUGAGGUCUACAAAAUACACAUUUUAGAGGUCCUUGAAGACUACAUACAGCAAACUCUGAGAUGGAAACUAAAUAUCUACUUAUGCUUUUGAUUGCUCUUUAUACUGUUUUUAUGUAUACAGUUGAUGCACUGCAAUCUGUCAUCGAACCAUCAAAUAUUCCAGGAUCAAGCUGUAAGUUAUUCUUAAAUGUUUCAUUAUUAAUAAGUUAUUAACGUAAAUUUGAUUGUAUACCUUAAACAGCAAUGAGAUUCAAAUAAUGAAAUUUAUUUACAACAUUGCAUGCGUUUGAAACACUUAAAUCGUUUAAUCAAUUGGGCUAUUUGAUUUAAGUUUACAAUGACAACAAUGAUGGAAAGCCUUGUCGUAGUUUUCCUCUUAUAUUUGAUGUCCUCCCCUCAGUUUUAGUUUGUAACCCGGAUUUGUUUUUUUUUUCUCAAUCGAUUUAUGAAUUUCGAACAGCGGUAUACUUCUGUUGCCUUUAUUUAUGUAUCAUGUUCGAUAGUCAUAUAUUUUAUCGAGAAAAAUAACCUUUCAGGGCUUGGAUGAAUAAGUAUGAAAAACAUAAUUAUAAAUGAAACGGAUAAUUCAAAACUAUGUAAAAUAUACUUAUUUUACGAUAUAUUUGGUGACUAUGUUGAACGCAUCUAUCCCAUCGAACUAGAGAUAAAGGAUAAAAAAAACAUACAGUUAAGCCUCCCUCAAAUCUUGACUAACAUCUCGAAUUUGACAAUGAGGGUCGUUUUAAAACAAAACUUUACAACAAAAGAGACGAUUUCAGCUUCCAAAUUGUGAUGGUUCCAUUUCUAUGUAGCAAUAUUCCAGCUGCGCCUGCAUACGGAGAGUAUAUCUCCCAAAUUGAUACGGUAAUCCCAGUAUUAUUUUUCCUGUUAUGAUUGACUUGAUAUAGGGUUUCUGCUCACAUAUAAGCGAUUUAACCAAGAGUUCCAAAUGGUGAAGUUGACCAUUAUGCAAUAUCCGUUUCACAGUUAAUAUCGGAUAUGGUUAUGUCGUCGUAACUACAAUCACGUUCCUUUUUCACAAAUGUGUUAACCUAAUGAAUAAGACAAUUUAAUGUGUUUUAAUAACACGAGCAACACGACUGGAGCUACAUGUUGGGCAGGAUCUGCUUACCCUUCCAGAGCAACUGAGAUCACCCCAGUUUAUGUUGGGGUUAGUAUUGUUUAGUCUUUAGUUUUCUACUUUGUGUCUUGUGUACUGUUGUUUGUCGUUCGUAGUUUCCUUUUUAGCCAUGGCGUUGUUAAUUUAUUUUCGAUCUAUUAGUUUGAAUGUUCCUCUUGUAUCUUUCGUUCCUCUAAUAUUAAUGUGUAAAAUAUUUUGUAUUUUCAGAUUGUGGAAAAGGUAGAAGAGUAAUAGGACAAUAUACCGUGGGUGUGAACUAAAGCAUACUUUUUUUCAUAUGUUCAAAAUAGUUGAACAUGAACAUUAAUAGAAGGUUCAAGUAAGACGUUCUACAACAUUGUAGAUGAUGCAACACAUCGAAAUCGUGAAAUCGAGGGAGACAUAAAAUCUACACCAGUAACCACAUUAUGCAAGGGAUACAUUACAUUCUGCUGAUAUAAGAUUUUUUUUUUAUAAGAGUUGUUUUAUAUAACUAUAGAAUAGAAUAACUAUGAGUUGCUGGUAUACCGAAUAGCUUAGUAUAACGAAGAGAAUAAAGAAAAUAAAAGUAAAA